UACAGAGGUCUCAAGCGUUGUUCGGAUUCAUUGGGCGUAAAGCGCACGUAGGCGGCUUUGUAAGUCGGAUGUGAAAUCCCUCGGCUUAACCAAGGAAGUGCAUCCGAAACUGCAAGGCUUGAGUACUUAAGAGGAUCGCGGAACUCCCGGUGUAGAGGUGAAAUUCGUAGAUAUCGGGAGGAACACCAGUGGCGAAGGCGGCUCACUGGCCCGGAACUGACGCUGAGACGCGAAAGCGUGGGGAGCAAACAGG
RNAcentral lists this ribosomal RNA (253 nucleotides) under uncultured bacterium. Its description in RNAcentral is "partial 16S ribosomal RNA". It matches the Rfam family "Bacterial small subunit ribosomal RNA", at positions 524 to 776 of the family's 1533-position model. The record is from RNAcentral.